This 493-nucleotide ribosomal RNA is filed under the name uncultured soil bacterium. Its description in RNAcentral is "bacterial SSU rRNA". It matches the Rfam family "Bacterial small subunit ribosomal RNA", at positions 35 to 572 of the family's 1533-position model. The record is from RNAcentral.
GCUGGCGGCAGGCCUCAAACAUGCAAGUCUAGGGGGCGUAGCAAUACGUCACCGGCGGACGGGUGCGUAACACGUGGGAAUGUACUUAUUGGUUCGGAACAACUCAGGGAAACUUGAGCUAAUACCGAAUGUGCCCGUAAGGGGAAAGAUUUAUCGCCAAUAAAUCAGCCCGCGUCCGAUUAGCUAGUUGGUGGGGUAAAGGCCCACCAAGGCGACGAUCGGUAGCUGUUCUGAGAGGAAGAUCAGCCACACUGGGACUGAGACACGGCCCAGACUCCUACGGGAGGCAGCAGUUGGGAAUCUUGGACAAUGGGGGAAACCCUGAUCCAGCCAUGCCGCGUGAGUGAUGAAGGCCUUAGGGUUGUAAAACUCUUUCGGCGGGGACGAUAAUGACGGUACCCGCAGAANAAGCUCCGGCUAACUUCGUGCCAGCAGCCGCGGUAAUACGAAGGGGGCUAGCGUUGUUCGGAAUUACUGGGCGUAAAGCGUGCGC